GAUGAACGCUGGCGGCGUGCCUAAUACAUGCAAGUCGAGCGAACGGACGAGAAGCUUGCUUCGCUGAUGUUAGCGGCGGACGGGUGAGUAACACGUGGAUAACCUACCUAUAAGACUGGGAUAACUUCGGGAAACCGGAGCUAAUACCGGAUAAUAUUUUGAACCGCAUGGUUCAAAAGUGAAAGACGGUCUUGCUGUCACUUAUAGAUGGAUCCGCGCUGCAUUAGCUAGUUGGUAAGGUAACGGCUUACCAAGGGAACGAUGCAUAGCCGACCUCAGAGGGUGGUCGCCCACACUGGAGCUGAGACGCGGUCCAGACUCCUACGGGAGGCCGCAGUAGGGAAUCUUCCGCAAUGGUCGGAAGCCUGACGCAGCAACGCCGCGUGAGUGAUGAAGGUCUUCGGAUCGUAAAACUCUGUUAUUAGUGAAGAACAUCUGUGUAAGUAACUGUGCACAUCUUGACGGUACCUAAUCAGAAAGCCACGGCUAACUACGUG
This 497-nucleotide ribosomal RNA is filed under the name uncultured bacterium. Its description in RNAcentral is "partial 16S ribosomal RNA". It matches the Rfam family "Bacterial small subunit ribosomal RNA", at positions 28 to 507 of the family's 1533-position model. The record is from RNAcentral.